AUUGAACGCUGGCGGCAGGCCUAACACAUGCAAGUCGUACGAGUUGCUGCUGGGUGAGUAAUGACUGGGAAACUGCCUGAUGGAGGGGGCUAAUCACUGGAAACGGUAGCUAAUACCGCAUACCAUCAGAUGUGCCCAGAUGGGAUUAGCUUGUUGGUGGGGUAACGGCUCACCAAGGCGACGAUCCCUAGCUGGUCUGAGAGGAUGACCAGCCACACUGGACCUGAUACACGGUCCAGACGCCGACGGGAGGCAGCAGUGGGGAAUAUUGCACAAGGGGCGCGAGCCUGAUGCAGCCAUGCCGCGUGUAUGAAGAAGGCCUUCGGGUUGUAAAGUAAUUUCAGCGGGGAGGCGUUACCCGCAGAAGAAGCACCGGCUAACUCCGUGCCAGCCGCCGCGGUAAUAC
Molecule: ribosomal RNA, 406 nt
Filed under: uncultured bacterium
Lineage: Bacteria
Description: partial 16S ribosomal RNA
Rfam family: Bacterial small subunit ribosomal RNA
Source: RNAcentral